AAUUUGUACCCCCCGUCCGGAAAUACUUGUCCUAGAAAUGGAUAUAAAUGGAUGCAUCUAAAACAAAAAUACAUCUAGAUACAUCUAUUCCUUCGACAAGUAUUUCCGGACGGAGGGAGUACUAA
Non-coding RNA from Triticum aestivum (bread wheat), 125 nucleotides. NCBI's taxonomy places the organism in Eukaryota, Viridiplantae, Streptophyta, Magnoliopsida, Poales, Poaceae. The record is from Rfam.